Molecule: non-coding RNA, 29 nt
Filed under: Rattus norvegicus (Norway rat)
Lineage: Eukaryota; Metazoa; Chordata; Mammalia; Rodentia; Muridae
Source: RNAcentral
UAGAACACUGUCCUUUCGUCCUGAGCAGC